RNAcentral lists this ribosomal RNA (301 nucleotides) under uncultured bacterium. RNAcentral's name for it is "partial 16S ribosomal RNA". It matches the Rfam family "Bacterial small subunit ribosomal RNA", at positions 509 to 809 of the family's 1533-position model. The record is from RNAcentral.
CAGUCGCCGCGGUAAUACAGAGGGUGCGAGCGUUAAUCGGAUUUACUGGGCGUAAAGCGUGCGUAGGCGGCUUUUUAAGUCGGAUGUGAAAUCCCUGAGCUUAACUUAGGAAUUGCAUUCGAUACUGGGAAGCUAGAGUAUGGGAGAGGAUGGUAGAAUUCCAGGUGUAGCGGUGAAAUGCGUAGAGAUCUGGAGGAAUACCGAUGGCGAAGGCAGCCAUCUGGCCUAAUACUGACGCUGAGGUACGAAAGCGUGGGGAGCAAACAGGAUUAGAUACCCGCGUAGUCCCUGUCUCUUAUAU